GUUUCUCUCUCUCUUGUGUUUUAACCAGCCUUCAAGACUGGUCCCUUUUUGACAGUGUCUCUCUUCAUCUAAUUUUUCUCUCAAAGGAAAGGAUGGGACAGGAACGGUAAAAUUUUUGAGAUAAUUACGGCCACCGAAAAUAGAAAAAUAUGUGCCGGAAGAGUUGUGGAAGGACUGACUGAUAUUCUCAAAGUCCACUACUUGACCUGCAUUCUAUAACUAAAUUAAUUACAGUGGUUUUUUAUGGAUGCUUCUUCUUCGGUCCACGUACUACGGUACUAGUAACUGAAAGAACCAUAGAAUACUGGCGUCUUGAAGCAGAAGAAAGUGUUAUUGCGAUAUACGAAGAGGUAGCUCUAAGUGGAAGCUCUACUGCUUUUAUG
This is a long non-coding RNA of Daphnia pulex (common water flea), 383 nucleotides long. RefSeq lists it as uncharacterized. The transcript has 3 exons. Lineage: Eukaryota; Metazoa; Arthropoda; Branchiopoda; Diplostraca; Daphniidae. The record is from RefSeq and is a predicted model, not a curated record.